UACGUAGGGGGCUAGCGUUGUCCGGAAUCAUUGGGCGUAAAGCGCGUGUAGGCGGCCCGGUAAGUCCGCUGUGAAAGUCGGGGGCUCAACCCUCGGAUGCCGAUCGAUACUGUCGGGCUAGAGUCCGGAAGAGGCGAGUGGAAUUCCUGGUGUAGCGGUGAAAUGCGCAGAUAUCAGGAGGAACACCAAUGGCGAAGGCGGCUCACUGGCCCGGUACUGACGCUGAGGUGCGAAAGCGUGGGGAGCAAACAGG
RNAcentral lists this ribosomal RNA (253 nucleotides) under uncultured bacterium. Its description in RNAcentral is "partial 16S ribosomal RNA". It matches the Rfam family "Bacterial small subunit ribosomal RNA", at positions 524 to 776 of the family's 1533-position model. The record is from RNAcentral.